UACGUAGGGGGCAAGCGUUGUCCGGAAUCAUUGGGCGUAAAGAGCGUGUAGGCGGCUUGGUAAGUCUGCUGUGAAAGUCCAGGGCUCAACCCUGGAAUGCCGGUGGAAACUGUCAAGCUAGAGUCCGGAAGAGGCGAGUGGAAUUCCUGGUGUAGCGGUGAAAUGCGCAGAUAUCAGGAGGAACACCAAUGGCGAAGGCAGCUCGCUGGGACGGUACUGACGCUGAGACGCGAAAGCGUGGGGAGCAAACAGG
This 253-nucleotide ribosomal RNA is filed under the name uncultured bacterium. RNAcentral describes it as "partial 16S ribosomal RNA". It matches the Rfam family "Bacterial small subunit ribosomal RNA", at positions 524 to 776 of the family's 1533-position model. The record is from RNAcentral.